AUUGAACGCUGGCGGCAUGCUUUACACAUGCAAGUCGAACGGCAGCGCGGGCUUCGGCCUGGCGGCGAGUGGCGAACGGGUGAGUAAUAUAUCGGAACGUACCCAAGAGUGGGGGAUAACGUAGCGAAAGUUACGCUAAUACCGCAUACGAUCUAAGGAUGAAAGCAGGGGAUCGCAAGACCUUGUGCUCCUGGAGCGGCCGAUAUCUGAUUAGCUAGUUGGUGGGGUAAAGGCCCACCAAGGCAACGAUCAGUAGCUGGUCUGAGAGGACGACCAGCCACACUGGAACUGAGACACGGUCCAGACUCCUACGGGAGGCAGCAGUGGGGAAUUUUGGACAAUGGGCGCAAGCCUGAUCCAGCAAUGCCGCGUGAGUGAAGAAGGCC
This 386-nucleotide ribosomal RNA is filed under the name uncultured bacterium. RNAcentral describes it as "bacterial SSU rRNA". It matches the Rfam family "Bacterial small subunit ribosomal RNA", at positions 30 to 416 of the family's 1533-position model. The record is from RNAcentral.